GUUUCAAAUCACCUCCCGAACUACCCCUUUCAAGGAUCUCCAACAUUUUUGGGACACCCUGUAUAGCCGUAAAUAGGCAAACAUACUACUGCAUACUACUGUUACGCUAUCACGUGAACUUAGCUCUAUUACAUGUAGCGCCACAAUGCAAUAGAAAACUAUACUAAUGUACACCAUAAUGUACACCAUUUGUUAUUAAUUAUGUAAAAGUAGGAUAUAAAUAUUAUGACUAUAUGGUUUGAAGAAAAUAUAAGUGUGAAGGAAGUUAAAACCUUUGGACCAAAUUGAAGUGUUUUAAAAUUAAUAAGAGAUAUUAUAAGUUAAUAAAAACGUGAAAUAGACAAAAUUGUUGGUACGAAGCCAAAGAGGUUAAGUGAACGCGUGGAAGUGAUAAAGGGAAGCUACCCAAGGAAAGAAUUGUGCAGUUAAUUAUAAGAGUGUGUUACAGAUUUUACAACUUGGGACUUCAAGUCAGUAUCAUUAAUUAUGGCUUCCAUUAUGGCAUAUAUAUGAUUGAAUACGGUCAUUACUUCUUCUGUAGGAACAGAAAGGCCUCUUCUUCACCAAUAGUUUUACCUUUAUCCUCCACAAUUAAUAAUUUACAUAUAUUACAAUUUAGUUUUUUAGCAAUAGAAUGGGACCCAUAACCAGAUAUGUAAAUUUUAAUGGAAUCAUCAACAACACAAGUGGAUAAAUAUCCAGUUUCGAAGAUUCCCAGAAAACAAGUUACAUCAAUGGAAAGAUUAUAAAGAUUAUUAUCGUUAUCACAAAUUUCAAAUCUAUUUUUGAUUUUAGUAGAAGACAAAAAUCUUGCCGAUUUUGUAAAUAUAUGUUUUAAUCUAAUAUUUUUCUCUGCAUGAACUACUUCAUUGUAUGAAACGUGAUAAUUACAGCUAGAUAAAAGUCUAUAGUUUCCAAAUCGUUUCUAUAAUUUUUCAGUUGAAAAUUUUCCUGCUAAAAGAUAAGAUAUGUCAACAUUUUGAAAACAGUACUCUAUUAGUAGUAAAAGAACUCUAGUACUUUGAUGUAAAGCUUUGAAAGUGUUGAGGAAUCGAGUAUGGGAGAUUAACAAUGAGACAGUAUGUAAGAUCACGUGGAUAGAGAUUGCCGAAGCAUGCCACCGCGUGCUAACGUCUGACAAGGUUAUGCUUUUUGUUACUCACUUGGCCGCUAGAACCUCUCGCGUAUCUAACGCCCUGGGGCCGCGCUCUGUGGGCGUGCUCACGCAACAGAAAGUGUUGUUUGUUUGGCGUUUAGGUCUAUUAGUCCUAGAUAUAAAAAGUACAAAAAUAGAAAUAUUUACAUUGCUACAUAUAAUACUUAAUAGUAGAAGUCAUCUUAGCCUAAGUGUAUUUCUUUAUACCAGAUAUGAUGUUAUCCUAAGUGCAGUAUGUCCGUAUAUAUUUCUGUGUUUAUUGUAUUGUUGGCGUCCUUCUGUGAUUUAGAGUGUUGUGUGUAUUGUUAUUUUGUCUCCUAUUAAAUCUGUAAGUUAUUUUCUUUUAGAAACUCUGUGAUUAUCCAGAUUGCUGCUAGGUUAGGUUCCUGUAAAAGUUCUUCUGCCUUGAAGGGAGGUGUCCAUCCACGCCUGUGCAGUUUCUCUGUCAUAGUCUUCCUUUUUUGUACGUAUAGUGGACAAUUUCAAAGUAUGUGAUUGAAAUUUUGCAGUUCGUGGCCACAGCCACAUUUGCUGUCUUUGGUUAUUCCUAUUCGUGUUAGGGAGGCAGCGAGAU
Long non-coding RNA from Hylaeus volcanicus, 1730 nucleotides. RefSeq lists it as uncharacterized. NCBI's taxonomy places the organism in Eukaryota, Metazoa, Arthropoda, Insecta, Hymenoptera, Colletidae. The transcript is spliced from 3 exons. The record is from RefSeq and is a predicted model, not a curated record.